Molecule: long non-coding RNA, 664 nt
Filed under: Gallus gallus (chicken)
Lineage: Eukaryota; Metazoa; Chordata; Aves; Galliformes; Phasianidae
Source: RNAcentral
CUCAUGGAGUUUUCCCUGCAAGCUGAGAUCUUCACACAGAGAAAGUGCAUUGAAUGCAGAAUCCUUUGGCAUGGGAAAAACCUCAGGAAGCACAAUACUGCAACCUCUGCAGCCGCUCUGACCUACUGGAAUUGAACUCUGAUCUUCUGCAUAAUAAAGAUGAGUACUUCUUAGUGAUGCAAAUUUAGGAAAGGAAGAAUGUCUGCUACUAGGAGCCUCUCUCUCCAGAAAACACAUUUCAACUAUAACGGUGUUACACAACUCUGAAUUUCGAGCCUAAACAAGAUUUCUCAGGCUCUACAACAAAUCUCUGAAUGGAAGAAGGAAUUAUUUCUGUGUAAAAAUGGAUAAAAUGUUGUUCCUGUUGCCCCGAUCAAGAGGAAAGGCGGAAAGAGAAGCCACAAAAAUUCCCCCAAGAGAUUGAAAUGUUUGACUACUCAAGCACUGCUGCCAUUGGAUUGCUUGACGUCUGAAUCCAGUCCUGGUACCAGCAAGAUGGAACAGAGGAAAUGUACCGCUGAUCCAGUGGUGUCUCAAAAGAGGAUUCCAGGGGUGAUCGUGGGACCUACAAAAAUGGCGAAGGAGGAGAAUCCCGGCUGGUCACCCACUAUUGGGAAGCUUUAUGGCAAGAGUGUGCCACAUCCUGCUGGCUGCAGCCUGGGAG